RNAcentral lists this ribosomal RNA (513 nucleotides) under uncultured bacterium. RNAcentral's name for it is "partial 16S ribosomal RNA". It matches the Rfam family "Bacterial small subunit ribosomal RNA", at positions 28 to 523 of the family's 1533-position model. The record is from RNAcentral.
GACGAACGCUGGCGGCGUGCCUAAUACAUGCAAGUUGAGCGCUGAAGGUUGGUACUUGUACCAACUGGAUGAGCAGCGAACGGGUGAGUAACGCGUGGGGAAUCUGCCUUUGAGCGGGGGACAACAUUUGGAAACGAAUGCUAAUACCGCAUAAAAACUUUAAACACAAGUUUUAAGUUUGAAAGAUGCAAUUGCAUCACUCAAAGAUGAUCCCGCGUUGUAUUAGCUAGUUGGUGAGGUAAAGGCUCACCAAGGCGAUGAUACAUAGCCGACCUGAGAGGGUGAUCGGCCACAUUGGGACUGAGACACGGCCCAAACUCCUACGGGAGGCAGCAGUAGGGAAUCUUCGGCAAUGGACGAAAGUCUGACCGAGCAACGCCGCGUGGGUGAAGAAGGUUUUCGGAUCGUAAAACUCUGUUGGUAGAGAAGAACGUUGGUGAGAGUGGAAAGCUCAUCAAGUGACGGUAACUACCCUGAAAGGGACGGCUAACUACGUGCCAGCCGCCGCAGUAA